GUCACAGUCGCCCAAUGGAAGGGCAUCAGCCUUCUAAGCUGUCUUGUGUAGGUUCGAUUCCUAUCUGUGACG
Molecule: transfer RNA, 72 nt
Filed under: Euglena viridis
Lineage: Eukaryota; Euglenozoa; Euglenophyceae; Euglenales; Euglenaceae
Description: tRNA-Arg
Rfam family: tRNA
About the family: Transfer RNA (tRNA) molecules are approximately 80 nucleotides in length. Their secondary structure includes four short double-helical elements and three loops (D, anti-codon, and T loops).
Source: RNAcentral